This 1605-nucleotide ribosomal RNA is filed under the name Triticum aestivum (bread wheat). Its description in RNAcentral is "partial small subunit ribosomal RNA". Lineage: Eukaryota; Viridiplantae; Streptophyta; Magnoliopsida; Poales; Poaceae. The record is from RNAcentral.
AUGUCGGUGCUGGAGGAUUUGAUCCGGGCGAUCGAGCUGUGGCUGCGGAUCGCCAAGGAGCAGGUGCCGCUGGUCGACCCCAGCCUCGACCCGGUGCUGCUCGUGCCCGGCAUCGGCGGCUCCAUCCUCGAGGCCGUGGACGAGGCCGGGAACAAGGAGCGGGUCUGGGUGCGCAUCCUCGCCGCCGACCACGAGUGCCGCGAGAAGCUCUGGGCGCAGUUCGAUGCCUCCACUGGCAAAACUAUUUCUGUGGAUGAGAAAAUACGCAUCACUGUCCCGGAGGAUAGGUAUGGAUUGUACGCCAUCGACACAUUGGACCCAGACCUGAUUAUUGGUGAUGACAGUGUUUACUACUAUCAUGACAUGAUAGUGCAAAUGAUUAAAUGGGGAUAUCAAGAAGGCAAAACUCUGUUCGGAUUUGGUUAUGAUUUCCGCCAAAGUAACAGGCUUUCGGAAACACUUGACAAAUUUUCUAACAAGCUAGAGUCAGUAUACACAGCUUCAGGAGGGAAAAAGAUCAAUCUAAUAACACAUUCAAUGGGGGGAUUGCUUGUUAAAUGCUUCAUGUCUCUUCAUGGUGAUGUCUUUGAAAAAUAUGUGAAGAGUUGGGUUGCAAUUGCUGCACCAUUUCAAGGUGCGCCUGGGUACAUAAAUAGUGGUCUGCUGAAUGGAAUGUCUUUUGUGGAAGGAUGGCAAUCAAAAUUCUUCAUUUCCAAAUGGACUAUGCAGCAAUUGUUGAUUGAAUGUCCAUCAAUAUACGAGUUGUUGGCUAGCUCAACCUACCACUGGGAAGAUACACCAUUGCUACAGAUCUGGAAAGAGAGCUUAGAUGACAAUGGCAAGAAAAGUGCCAUACUGGAGUCCUAUGAACCAGAUGAAGCAAUAAAGAUGAUUCAGAAAGCUCUUUCCAAGCAUGAGAUUAUCUCUGAUGGAAAUCACAUUCCUCUGCCCCUUAAUGAGGAUAUAUUAAUAUGGGCAAAGGAAACUCAAGAUAUCUUAUCCCAGGCAAAGCUUCCAAAAUCAGUGAAGUUCUACAAUAUUUACGGGAUUGAUUAUGACACUGCUCAUACUGUUUGCUACGGGAGCAAACGGCACCCUAUUUCAAAUCUUAGUCACCUCUUAUAUACUCAGGGUAAAUACAUCUGUGUUGAUGGUGAUGGAUCCGUUCCCGCAGAAUCAGCAAAGGCGGACGGCCUUGAUGCAGUGGCGAGAAUUGGGGUUGCUGCUGACCACCGAGGAAUCGUCUGCGACCACCGCGUGUUUCGCAUAGUCCAGCAUUGGCUGCACGCGGGUGAACCUGACCCGUUUUACGACCCGCUCAACGACUAUGUCGUCAUCCCAACCAUCUUCGAGGUCGAGAAGCACCACGAGAAACGCGGGGACGUCACGUCGGUCAGGGAGGACUGGGAGAUCAUCUCCCACACCGAUGGCGACGAGGCCAAAAGGCUGGCUGAGCUCCCUGCUAUGGUUGGCGCGAUGUCUGCGUCUUGCGAGGGUAAGGAUGGCCUUAUGGACGAGGCGCAGGCCACCGUGGUGGUCCACCCGGAGAGCGGAGGGCGGCAGCAUGUGGAAGUCAGGGCUGUCGGAGUCAGCCACGGUGGCUAG